GGGCCUGAUCCAGGCGGCACGUAUACUAAGAUUGGAACGAUACUGAGAAGAUUAGCAUGGCCCCUGUGCACAGAAAAUCUUUUAACAAUAUAAAAAUAAAAACUCCCA
This is a small nuclear RNA of Onychomys torridus (southern grasshopper mouse), 108 nucleotides long. NCBI's taxonomy places the organism in Eukaryota, Metazoa, Chordata, Mammalia, Rodentia, Cricetidae. The record is from RefSeq and is a predicted model, not a curated record.